GGGAACUGGAGUGCACUGGCACUGGCAGGGGCGAACUCCACUCACUCUCUGCUCCACCCCACGUGGGAGUGGGAGCACAGGUGAGCAGGUGCAGGAGCCAGGGUGUGUGCUUUUAGGUGCCGGCAAGAGCGAACUCCGUACUGGCCCAUGGCAGCAUCUAAGGGAGGGUGCCGGAAGUCCCUGAAGCCACAGAGGAAGUGUUACAGUGCCCUUUACCUUUGCUGUCUGUAGACAGCUUAACAGCUCAGCAGAGGGUCAGUGUGACAGCCUUUUGUGCCCACACUUGAGGCACACGAGUUUUUGUCUGGAGUCCAGGAGGAAUAAGGUCUCACAAACGAAUUGAAGGUGGUAAAUGUGGGGGAUUUCAUUGCCAAUGAAAGUGGCUCUCAGUGAGAAAGGGAGCUGGAAAGGGGACGGAACAAGAAGGUAAUCUUCACCUGAGAUUCUCCAGCCAUCCCUGCCAGACUCCUCUCUUCAGAGGAUGAUAAAAACUAUAUGCCUACAUUUAGGAUGAGUCUCUCUCUCCGACAUCCAACCAUACUCUCCAACAUCCAGCUCCUUCUCGUCUCUCUCCCAGGUGGAGGAAGAGGCCACAAACCAACGAAUGCAGGCAAUAUUUAGAAGCCGGAAAAGACAAGGAAAAAGAUUCUCCUCUAAAGCCUCCAGAAGGAAUGAAGCUCUGCUGACACCUUGAUUUUAAUCUCAGUAAAGCCCGUUUUGGAUUUAUGACUUCAGAACUGGAAGAUAAUAUGUUUGUGUUGUUUUAAGCCACUAAAUUUGUGGCAAUCUGUUAUAGCAGUGACAGUAAAUUUAUACAGUUAGCUUACCGUUAUUGAAAGAUUGAGAUGUCGAAAGGGGACACUGAGGUAAGGGAGGAGCUACAGGAGGUGGCUUCCACCCCUAGGGCUGGGAGAAAAGGGAAUUAGCCAGGCUCAUUUGAACCCAGAAACGUGGAGGACAGACCCUGUGGAACUGGGACCCAGACCUCUGAGGAGUGGGCACUGGCAUACUGGUGCUCUGAGGAGCACCCUGAAGCUGAUUCUGGGAAUAUGGAGAAUACUGGAAACUGCAACCAGCUGCUGCUGCCGGGGUGAAAAAUUACUGGAGCUACUCUGACAGGAACAGGAAGCCUUUAGGAAGCAAACAGGAGAUCCCUCCUCCAACUUCCCUCUCUGCCUCCAGUACCCGCUAUGAACAGAGUGUAACAACAGCUGACAAAGCAGAAAUGAGGUUUGUGGAGUCUCA
This 1245-nucleotide long non-coding RNA is filed under the name Homo sapiens (human). RNAcentral describes it as "HSALNT0221847". The record is from RNAcentral. Lineage: Eukaryota; Metazoa; Chordata; Mammalia; Primates; Hominidae.